RNAcentral lists this ribosomal RNA (521 nucleotides) under Chionoecetes opilio (snow crab). RNAcentral's name for it is "partial 16S rRNA". It matches the Rfam family "Bacterial large subunit ribosomal RNA", at positions 1829 to 2597 of the family's 2925-position model. Lineage: Eukaryota; Metazoa; Arthropoda; Malacostraca; Decapoda; Majidae. The record is from RNAcentral.
GUCUAUUUGGGGAUAUACAUAGUCUGGCCUGCUCACUGACACAGGAUUGUUUAAGAGCCGCGGUAUUUUGACCGUGCAAAGGUAGCAUAAUCAUUAGCUUUUUGAUUGAAAGCUUGUAUGAAUGGUCGGACAAAGGAAAAGCUGUCUUUAUUGUAAAAUUAGAAAUUAACCUCUAAGUGAAAAGGCUUAGAUUUUUUAGGGGGACGAUAAGACCCUAUAAAGCUUUACAUAUAAGUAGAGUUUACUUAAUUAAAAAGUAAAAGUUUAAUCUAAUUAAUGUGUUUUGUUGGGGCGACAUAAAUAUAAUUUAUAUUAACUGUUUAUAAAUUAAUACAAUAAUAAAUGAUUUUAAUGUAGUUGAUCCUUAUUAAAGAUUAAAAGACUAAGUUACUUUAGGGAUAACAGCGUUAUUUCUUUUGAGAGCUCCUAUCGAAAAAGAAGUUUGCGACCUCGAUGUUGAAUUAAAAUAUCUAAAUAAUGCAGCAGUUAUUUAAGAAGGUCUGUUCGACCUUUAAAUUUUU